This 464-nucleotide long non-coding RNA is filed under the name Brassica rapa (field mustard). RNAcentral describes it as "long non-coding RNA (BRAP_LNC000396)". The record is from RNAcentral. Lineage: Eukaryota; Viridiplantae; Streptophyta; Magnoliopsida; Brassicales; Brassicaceae.
CAUUUUCAAAAAUACACUCUUCAUUAAGUGGCAAAAGACUCUUAUACCCUUGUUAUUUAUAUAUAUAAUAAAUCAUUACUUAAAUAAAAAAUAAUAAUAAAAAAAGUAAAACUUUUUUUAUGUUUUCGAAUUAUACUUUUUCAAAUUCGAACUUUUUUAUAAAUUUUUUUUUUGAAAUUUUUUUCGAAUUUUUUUUUUAUUUUUUUUUUCAAAUUUUUUUUGAAAAACGAAAAUUAUGUUUGAAACUAUUUUUUAAAAUUUUUUAUAUUUUUUUAAGUAUUUAUUUAUAUAUUUAUUAGAAUCCUAAAUUUCACAUUCUAAAAACCUUACCCACCUGUCUAACUCUAAACCCUAAGUCUAGAUUAGUUAACCCUAAGGGUAUAAUUGUCUUUUAUCCUUCACUAAAAGUGAGGGUAAAAAUGGUUAGUGUAAACAUGAAAAGUGGUACUAUGAAUGUGCUAUUU